CACGGCAGAGCGGGAUGGACCGGUCACAAUCUGAAUCAUUGAGGCGUGACAUCCUUCAGAGGUUUUACGAUCGACUGUCAAGCAUCUUGGAGAGGCAACCUGUUGAUGGGGAAGGGCUAUAGUUUGCUUGUCACCAUUAUUUAGUUUUAUUAGGUGCUCUAGGUGACAUUGUUGAUGUGGGAGAGGAUAUACUUUCUGCUCUUUCAGAUCUGAAUACUAUUAUCCAGCAGGAAAGGGAUAAUCAAAAGACAUUAAUAACGGUACACGUUGAAAGAGGUUCUCGUGGCCACCCACGAUUGGCGAUGUCGCGAGAGGCUCUCGAACACCUUGUGGAAAUGGGUCUGCCAACAAGUGUCAUUACCAAACUCCUUGGUGUAUCCAGAGUAACUCUAUUUAGACAGAUGUCUGAAAACAAUAUAUCUGUAUCUGCCACAUACAGUAAAUGCAGUGAUGAGGAACUAGAUUCAUUUAUCACAGUAAUUAAGAGCAACAUGCCAGAUGCUGGGUACAGGGUAGUCCGAGGUGCUCUACUUGCCCAGGGACAUAGAGUACAGUGGGACCGACUGUCUGCAUCCAUGCAUCGUGUGGACAGUGCGGGUGUACUUGCUCGAAUGACACAUCUGGGAUGUGUAGUGAGAAGGACACACAGUUCCUUGCCCAAAGUAUAUGGUGCACAUUGACACCAAUCACACGCUCAUCAGGUACAAUUUUAUUAUCUUUGAAGGAAUAGACGGCUAUUCAAGGAAGG
Non-coding RNA from Nothobranchius furzeri (turquoise killifish), 748 nucleotides. Lineage: Eukaryota; Metazoa; Chordata; Actinopteri; Cyprinodontiformes; Nothobranchiidae. The record is from RefSeq and is a predicted model, not a curated record.